RNAcentral lists this ribosomal RNA (301 nucleotides) under uncultured bacterium. RNAcentral's name for it is "partial 16S ribosomal RNA". It matches the Rfam family "Bacterial small subunit ribosomal RNA", at positions 509 to 807 of the family's 1533-position model. The record is from RNAcentral.
CAGUAGCCACGGGAAAACGUAGGGUGCGAGCGUUAAUCGGAAUUACUGGGCGUAAAGCGUGCGCAGGCGGUUCGUUAAGACAGAUGUGAAAUCCCCGGGCUUAACCUGGGAACUGCAUUUGUGACUGGCGAGCUAGAGUAUGGCAGAGGGGGGUAGAAUUCCACGUGUAGCAGUGAAAUGCGUAGAGAUGUGGAGGAAUACCGAUGGCGAAGGCAGCCCCCUGGGUCAAUACUGACGCCCAUGCGCGAAAGCGUGGGGAGCAAACAGGAUUAGAGACCCCAGUAGUCCCUGUCUCUUAUAC